RNAcentral lists this ribosomal RNA (253 nucleotides) under uncultured bacterium. Its description in RNAcentral is "partial 16S ribosomal RNA". It matches the Rfam family "Bacterial small subunit ribosomal RNA", at positions 524 to 776 of the family's 1533-position model. The record is from RNAcentral.
UACGAAGGGAGCUAGCGUUGUUCGGAAUCACUGGGCGUAAAGCGCACGUAGGCGGAUGUGUCAGUCAGGGGUGAAAUCCCGGAGCUCAACUUCGGAACUGCCUUUGAUACAGCACGUCUUGAGUCCGAUAGAGGUGGGUGGAAUUCCUAGUGUAGAGGUGAAAUUCGUAGAUAUUAGGAAGAACACCGGUGGCGAAGGCGGCCCACUGGAUCGGCACUGACGCUGAGGUGCGAAAGCGUGGGGAGCAAACAGG